Molecule: ribosomal RNA, 429 nt
Filed under: Chloroflexota bacterium
Lineage: Bacteria; Bacillati; Chloroflexota
Also listed under: 1 other name
Description: Chloroflexi bacterium partial 16S ribosomal RNA
Rfam family: Bacterial small subunit ribosomal RNA
Source: RNAcentral
UAGGGAAUCUUCGGCAAUGGACGAAAGUCUGACCGAGCAACGCCGCGUGAGUGAAGAAGGUUUUCGGAUCGUAAAACUCUGUUGUUAGAGAAGAACAAGGACGUUAGUAACUGAACGUCCCCUGACGGUAUCUAACCAGAAAGCCACGGCUAACUACGUGCCAGCAGCCGCGGUAAUACGUAGGUGGCAAGCGUUGUCCGGAUUUAUUGGGCGUAAAGCGAGCGCAGGCGGUUUCUUAAGUCUGAUGUGAAAGCCCCCGGCUCAACCGGGGAGGGUCAUUGGAAACUGGGAGACUUGAGUGCAGAAGAGGGGAGUGGAAUUCCAUGUGUAGCGGUGAAAUGCGUAGAUAUAUGGGGGAACACCAGUGGCGAAGGCGGCUCUCUGGUCUGUAACUGACGCUGAGGCUCGAAAGCGUGGGGAGCAAACAGG